UAGAGUUUGAUCAUGGCUCAGGAUGAACGCUGGCGGCGUGCUUAACACAUGCAAGUCGAACGGAGUCAUCAUUUUUGAAGCAAUUAGCUUGCUAAGAGUGGAAAUGUUGAUGACUUAGUGGCGGACGGGUGAGUAACGCGUGGGUAACCUGCCAUAUACAGGGGGAUAACACUUAGAAAUAGGUGCUAAUACCGCAUAAGCGCACAGUAUUGCAUGAGACAGUGUGAAAAACUACGGUGGUAUAUGAUGGACCCGCGUCUGAUUAGCUGGUUGGUGAGGUAACGGCCCACCAAGGCGACGAUCAGUAGCCGGCCUGAGAGGGUGGACGGCCACAUUGGGACUGAGACACGGCCCAAACUCCUACGGGAGGCAGCAGUGGGGAAUAUUGGACAAUGGGGGAAACCCUGAUCCAGCGACGCCGCGUGAGUGAAGAAGUAUUUCGGUAUGUAAAGCUCUAUCAGCAGGGAAGAAAAAAUGACGGUACCUGACUAAGAAGCCCCGGCUAACUACGUGCCAGCAGCCGCGGUAAUACGUAGGGGGCAAGCGUUAUCCGGAUUUAUUGGGUUUAAAGGGUGCGUAGGCGGAUUUUUAAGUCAGCGGUAAAAUGUCCGGGCUCAACCCGGGCCGGCCGUUGAAACUGGGGAUCUUGAGUGGGCGAGAAGUAUGCGGAAUGCGUGGUGUAGCGGUGAAAUGCAUAGAUAUCACGCAGAACUCCGAUUGCGAAGGCAGCAUACCGGCGCCCGACUGACGCUGAGGCACGAAAGCGUGGGGAUCGAACAGGAUUAGAUACCCUGGUAGUCCACGCAGUAAACGAUGAAUGCUAGUUGUCCGGUUCUUUGGGACUGGGUGACACAGCGAAAGCGUUAAGCAUUCC
RNAcentral lists this ribosomal RNA (874 nucleotides) under uncultured bacterium. RNAcentral's name for it is "bacterial SSU rRNA". It matches the Rfam family "Bacterial small subunit ribosomal RNA", at positions 1 to 870 of the family's 1533-position model. The record is from RNAcentral.